Molecule: unclassified non-coding RNA, 275 nt
Filed under: uncultured fungus
Lineage: Eukaryota; Fungi
Description: sequence contains ITS1
Source: RNAcentral
GUAUAUAUUUAUAGGCACAAAAGGCCCAUCCUGUUACAUUCUGAAACAUACAUAGGGGUAUAUGAAGAAACAUAGGCCUGGAAAUGUAAGGAGAGACAUGAAGUCAAUUCCUCAAACCUGAAAUGCAAGUGCAUUCAGAAAGAUUAUCCAGGUCUACAAAAAGUGCACAGGUGGAGAUAUAAAGAUGACAAGCGUGCACAUGCUCCCUAGAGAACCAGCAACAACCCAUCAGGUUUAUUUCAAUAAUGAUCCUUCCGCAGGUUCACCUACGGAAA